Molecule: long non-coding RNA, 612 nt
Organism: Pieris brassicae (large cabbage white)
Lineage: Eukaryota; Metazoa; Arthropoda; Insecta; Lepidoptera; Pieridae
Exons: 3
Source: RefSeq, a predicted model, not a curated record
GGCAGUAUCAAUUAGUAAUAUAAGAUUCGCUAGAACUUUUCUUGUUAUUUAAAAUAAAUGUAGGAUUGAAAAAGUCAAUACAAUAGCGGCGUAUUCUAGUGUAUAUUCAACGCCAAUCUUAAAUUUAGCUUGAAAGUUGGGUUUUUGGCUCAAGUUCAAGUGGGGCAGUAACAAACGAUCCCGCCAUGCCUCGUCAAUGAGACAGCUUAAUGCCGUCCUGAAGCCUGAAGGCAGGACAAAUGCUCUGUCGUUGAGCAUGCCAACUCUCUCUCAACUCAACUUAAGUAACGUGUGUAUUGUCCUCGGUACGGCGUUUUCCCAUUUUAAUUAAUGGUCGACGGGUUUAAGAAAUGCGAUGACUCGGAAAAUAUUGGCUCCCGCAUGAUUUCCAGUGAAGUUGAUUUUUAUGUCGAUCCCAGCAAUUCUUUAACUCCCCGUUAGUUUCGUCCCAUUGGCUUAUCGAAUAAUAAAACAUUCACGUUUCCAAAUAAAAAAAACUUGUAUAAGCUUUUACGAUUUCAGUUAUGAAUUGGAUGGAUGUAUUGACUUCAAUAUAUAAAAAAUAACUUUAUGUACGCUCGUACAAACAAACAAAUUGUACAUGUAUAAUAU